This is a long non-coding RNA of Mustela lutreola (European mink), 1966 nucleotides long. RefSeq lists it as uncharacterized. The transcript is spliced from 7 exons. The record is from RefSeq and is a predicted model, not a curated record. NCBI's taxonomy places the organism in Eukaryota, Metazoa, Chordata, Mammalia, Carnivora, Mustelidae.
CCAACACAAGACGGCCCGCUGGUGAGGGCGCGCGGCUGCAGGACGGGGCGGAGAGCACUGCUCCUGGAGGGUCCCGACCCCGAGCGCCCCAGACCCCGCGCCCGCUUCCCGGCUCCGCGUCUCCUCCGCAGACGAGCUCCGAUGCGCGGUGAAGGCCCGGGCUGAACCCGACGUCCGUGCGGCGCCAGCCGGAGUGCACGACGGGUCAGCCACAGAGACCGCACCCCGGAGUCAGUGCGGGAAAGCCAGGCUCGCUCCUGGACUGAGCCCCGCUGCUCUCCGUCUGGGGCAGCCGGGGCCUUGCCCGCGCUGGGGGAGGGGCAGCGGGAGCCUCGGGUUUCCCACCGGGAGCUCCCCGCCCUCCUGAGCCCUCUGGCUGCCCGAGGCGAAGCACACGCCCUUGGGAAAUCCUCUCCCCGGCUCUGGCCGAGUCCUUAAAUCAGGGGCAGGGGGCCAUCCCAGGAAGGGCUGGACAGGGUCAGGCUGCAGACUUCACCGGGCUAGUCCCUACACGGACCCGCGGAUGCCUGGAUGCUGGGGUCCGUGCUAGGUCAGCUCAGCAGCCCCGGCUGUGGAAUGUGCUGGUGACACUAGUCAGAAAGGAGAGGGACGGUGGGAAGGGUGGGGGGGGCACCCACAGCUGACCUGCGGAGCGCUUCACGGGUCCUCUACGCUGGCGGCGCCGUGGCUGUGGGACGGAGGCACAUCUGGGUCGGGGGCUCUCCCUGUGCACGCACUUAACCCUGAUGACCUGCGGAAUGCCCUGCCUCCAAACACAGUGGCACGGGAGGUCGGGACCUGAACACAUGGAUUUGGGGGACACAGCUGAGUCCCAAGCAGAAGCUAUGAGAACUCAGCAGGGUCACACGCCCUGACUGAUGAGGGAACCUGGACCACCGGCACCCCGCAGCCCUGCGCUGGCGUCCUCAAGUCACCAGCAACCCCACUGGGUGGUCCUGACAAGACGUGAGUGGCUUUUGUGUCGUCAUCAUCGGCGCAGUAAGAGAUAACAUGAUCAUUGGCCCCGUGACCAGUUCUCAAGCACACGGGUCAGCGGCCUUGCGUGCGUGAACAGCGACGGGAGGUUCCAGGACCCAGGCUUCCCGCAGAAGCUGCUCCUGCCAAGCCUGAGGACCCCACCGCCAGCCGCCCAGAACCGCCAGCCUGGGCCUGUCUCUAGACAUUCCGCACGCCUGGAAUCCUACCCCGCGUGGCCUCCUGGCUUCUGUCCCUCCCUGCGCUGCAGGAAGGCUGCCCUGACCAGUGAGAAAGCACCAGGGCCUCUCCUUUCCCGCCCAGCUGUGAGAAUCUCAUGGUGUCGCAGGCCUCCUUUGCGGAGCCAUCCCGUCUCCUCUCUGGCCUGUCAGUCCUGGAGGCACGUCAGGGCGUUGGGCUGAGUCGAUCCCCGGAGAAGGCACACCUAUGGAUGCCCACGUGGGGCACAGAGAACGUGUGUCCACAGACUGCUCUCAGGGUCCCAGGAGCUCGCUUUGAAUACCGCGGAACCGUGGCGUGAAGGAGGCCCCUGGCUCCCAGUAAAACCUUCCUGACUCAGGGGACAGUGGCGACUUGGUGGUUCACAGUAACGGGCAUCUGAUGACCAUCUUCCUUUCUCUUUGGGAGCAGGAAGACACCAUCAAACCCACAGGUCACAGCACAGGCAGAGACACUGGGUAUGUCCUAGAUGGAACUGGGAGGCCAAGGGACAGCAGUACAGCAGAGCCUGGAGGAGGAAGUGGAGGACACCAGCCUGGGGUGGAGGAGAGGGGGCUGCAGGGUCUCCCUGGCAAUCUGCAUGCGUUCCCCAGAGCUGGAAGACAAGGCUGCCAUCCUCCUACAAUGGGUCCUGAGGUCAGAAAGGCAUGUCCGGCCCCGCAGACCCAGCCCUGCCCUCUUGCAGGGAAUCUUUUCUUCCUCAGUUUGCUUUGAUGUGCAAAAGUUCUUAACAUGGAUGAAGUCCAAUUUA